Molecule: small nucleolar RNA, 218 nt
Organism: Salvia miltiorrhiza (redroot sage)
Lineage: Eukaryota; Viridiplantae; Streptophyta; Magnoliopsida; Lamiales; Lamiaceae
Product: small nucleolar RNA U3
Exons: 1
Source: RefSeq, a predicted model, not a curated record
ACGAUCUUACUUGAACAAGAUCUAUUCUAUAGGCUCGUACCUCUAUAUCCUUGAUUUCUAGGGAGACAGAAAACCAUAUUUGGUGGAUGAAGCAUGACUACCCAGCCAGAGCGUGACUAACAGCACUGUGCCCCGCUUUCUGGCCACUCUGCAAUAAAUGAUUGUUCUCGGCUUGGCUCCAGUCCAACCGGGAUGGCUGGGCGGCUGUCUGACAGACU